AUUUUUUAGUUGUAGUUGGACACAAUACCUUUAUUUAUUUAUUUAUUUUAUGUGGUGCUGAGGAUUGAACUCAGGGCCUUGCAUAUGCUAGGCUAGUGCUCUACCGCUGAGCCACAACCCCAGUCCCAUUAUUUUGGCUUUUUAAUAAGCAUUUUCUGUAGAACAAGACAGCACGUAGUUUAGGUUUUUUUAUUUUAUUUUUAAUUUUUAUUUUAUUUUAUUUUUUAAUAUUUAUUUUUUUUAGGCGUAGUUGGACACAACACAAUACCUUUAUUUUUAUGUGGUGCUGAGGAUCGAACCCGGGUCCCACCCGUGCUAGGCAAGCGCUCUACUGCUGAGCCACAAUCCCAGCCCCUAUUUUAGGUUUUUUUAAAAGUUGAGAAGUAAAAUUGAGGAUAUUGUAUAGCUACUUAGGUAAUUCAAAGAGAAAACAUUUUAUUGGUAAAAUUCGACAUAAUAGUAAUUGAGUUUUUGUAAUACAGGUCUUCUAAUAAGAAUUAUGGGAUUCUUUGUAGGAAAAUUGUUUGCUUAAUUGGGGUUCAAAAUUACUGUUACCUAUCAUCAAAAUUGAUUGUAAAGAUUCAUAUGUUUUACUGAUGUUUUCUGGAAUUGUAUCUGUGUCAAUUCUGAAGGUCUUUUGAUUAUAGAUAGGUACUGCUAAAUACUGGUGUCAGUUCACCUUCAUGUGUUUUUUUGUUUGUUUUUAACCCAUGGGCACUUAACCAUUGAGCCACAUCCAC
RNAcentral lists this long non-coding RNA (740 nucleotides) under Marmota monax (woodchuck). Lineage: Eukaryota; Metazoa; Chordata; Mammalia; Rodentia; Sciuridae. The record is from RNAcentral.